This is a non-coding RNA of Prunus avium (sweet cherry), 212 nucleotides long. The record is from RefSeq and is a predicted model, not a curated record. NCBI's taxonomy places the organism in Eukaryota, Viridiplantae, Streptophyta, Magnoliopsida, Rosales, Rosaceae.
AGAAGUUUUUCAAUUUGGUAUUGUUUUCAAGUUUCACACAAAUCCACUGACAUAAAAAGUAUUGUUCAUAAUGCAGCUGGACAGGAAAGGUUUAGAACUCUUACUAGUUCAUAUUACAGAGGAGCUCAAGGGAUAAUAUUGGUGUAUGAUGUGACCCGAAGAGAAACAUUUACGAAUUUGUCUGAUAUAUGGGCUAAAGAAAUUGACCUGUA